CUGUCCCUGGCAUCAGCUGGCAUUUUGUUCCCCCAGCCCCCAGGGUCAGCACUGGCUGUGCCCAUGCCAAGCUCCUUCCCGAGCCUCGGCACCUCGCUCCUGGAGGCUGCUAUCAUGUGCAAAAAGGAAGGAGCAGGCAAAACAAGCACAGCCAGGAAUCACAUAAUAUUGCUGCAGUCCUGCCAGGAAACAGACUGUAGAAGUUCCUGUGUUUAAAAGCCAGGAGAUGAGUUUUAUUGUUAGUAGUUGUUAUAGUAACCUGAGGUGCUGGAGAGUAAUACAUGCUCGGCGCGUUGCAACAGACUCUGACAAGUUCAAGGCUGUUGCCUUGCUGCUAAAUCUUGUUGCCAAGGCAAUGCAACACAAGGAAAGAGCCUAGAGAAAUGAAUCCUGCUGACAGCUCAUGCCAGCAGGCCUGGGCUGAUUAAAAGGGAACUUUUAAAAGUGAUGUUAACUUAAAAAGCACAGCAGCAGAAAGGAAAGGGGAGCACGGAUAUGGAGAGAGGAUCCAGCGGAGGAGCAAUGGGUUAAUGUCAAGCAACAGGUAAAGGAAAGCAUUUGAUUAAAAAACAAUAUGGCUGAACAGGAUGUCUUAGCUUGUGAUGCAGAAACGUGCCAUAUUUUGGAGGGAGUAAAUAAGAAAUCACAAAAUCAUCACUUUUUAAAUUUGUUUAGCCUGGGCAGUACUGCUGUAAUUUGCAUAGGAACUGUGGCUUUUUCCCAACACUGUUGACAGCAAAAAUAAUUUUCUCAGUAAAUUUGUUUAGUGGCACAGAUAUUAGCUCAGUCAACUUUCAAUUUUGUGUUCAUUUCCAGCCUUUUAAAAAUGCUUCCUGGCGAAAGGUUAGCUGGAAAACAGAUGAAUCUGCAAGCUGAUUAUUCUCUCCUGUCUAUGAUUCACUGUUAAUGCUGACAGUAUACUCUGAAUUGAAAGAAGAAUAUUACCCCAAGGACCACAGAGUCAAAAUAUAUGAUCAGCUCUGAAGAAGUCAGGUGUUACCUGUCCCUCUCCACACCAGGAUGUCUGCACAGCAGGAGUACGCAGGCAGAGGUCUCCAUUUGCUGCAUCACCUGCAGGAGCUGCAGCACAGGGAUCUGCCUGACUAGAAUGGCCCAGGCCACUGACAAUCCAGGAGCACCUGGCAGUUGUUUUGAGGGAGGGAACAAAGCUCCAGGACUAAUGGGAGAAGUCUUUUCCAUGCAGGAAUGUUUCUCCUUGAUCAUGCUUGUAAUCCAUUCAUAGCCUGAAUCAUCAGUACUUGUCAGCUUCAUAAUCCUUCCAAGACUAAAGUAAAACUCAUCUACAUACCCAGGAGAAGAAAACUCACCCUACAAUAAACCUGAAAGGCAUCUGCUGGGAUAAGCAACUGCUGCCUCUGAAAUUCAAAUAUCAGGGUGUGUGAUCAAUGCCACGCAGCACCUCAGCACUCAAAUCAACCUCCUGAGACAUCAAGUCUGUCCCCUGCUGCUGCAGACAAUGCACUGUAUAAUGACUUUAAUAAACUACAACUCAAAAGCAGUGAGAUUUUUCCAUUCCAAAUACCCCCUUGGGUAAGGCAGUAUUUGAUUGCUCUAAUGGUUGACAACUCUCUUCUGGUUUCCAGCUGAAAUUUGUGUGUGGCCAGUUCCAAUUCAUGUGCCAGGACCCUCUCUAGCUAAGCAGUUGUCUGGGCCAGAGCUCAGAGUUCAAGGCAAAACUCCACCAAUUUCAUUCCAGUGUCACCCUCACUUUCAAAACCACACCCAAAGUUUGCAAUUUCUUGGCCUUUUCAAAUUCAAAGUUUAUUAAAACAUAAUACAGCUGGAAUUUUUUUCCCAAAAGGAAAUAAAAACAAGGGGAUGAAUAUGGAUGGAACAGCCCUGCUAAUUCCGUGAGUGUUAAACUGAAUUAAUAGGCAAAUUGGAGAAAGCCAAUUGUUUCUACCUUCAUAGCACACGCCACAUGUAGUUACAUAUUCUUCCUGUGCCCGAGGUAAGUUUAGACUUCCAACAGCCACCAGACAGUUAAAAGUCCUGUAUUAAAUAGCAGAUGCUGUGCCACCUCAUCCCCUUAUUAGUGGCAGGGAACCUGCAGGUUCCUGUGGUGCUGGUGUGGUCAGAUGGAGCCAUCUCAGUGCUGUGUACACAUUUGCUAAGUGUUCUGCAUCCUGUCCCUAUUCAAAUCAAGUACCCUGUGACUGGACAGCUCAGUGCCUCAGGAACUUUUUCCUCCACGGAUCCCUCCAGCUCCCGAGGGCCCUUGCUCACUUUUCUGUGAUGGUCUUGUAGCUCCUGCACUGAUGUGGUGGCAGCAGCCAGCGGGCUGGAGCCUCUCUGGUGACCCCAUCAGGGUCUUCAUCCCACCCUGCUCCAGCCUUGCUGCUUCCCCAUGAUCACAGUCCUUGAGGGGCUCUUUAAAAGCGAGCACUACCCAGAAUUAAAAGGUUUUUGUCCCCGAACCUACAUGGAGUUAGUUAAUGUGUGCAAUUUUACACCUGUAAGCAGCAAUGCUGAUUUCAAAGGGACCUUCUAAGACUUUCAAGCAUAUUUUACAAAGUUUCUACUUGAUCCUGCUUGUAAUUCACUCCUAGCCUGGAUCAUGAGGACUUGUUGGACUUGAGGACUUCUGCAUCUUAGAAAUUAUUAAAAACGCAAUUAAAAUACAGAGGUUUGGUGGUUUGAUUUUGUUGUUUUUGGU
Molecule: long non-coding RNA, 2677 nt
Organism: Ficedula albicollis (Collared flycatcher)
Lineage: Eukaryota; Metazoa; Chordata; Aves; Passeriformes; Muscicapidae
Source: Ensembl